RNAcentral lists this ribosomal RNA (301 nucleotides) under uncultured bacterium. RNAcentral's name for it is "partial 16S ribosomal RNA". It matches the Rfam family "Bacterial small subunit ribosomal RNA", at positions 509 to 807 of the family's 1533-position model. The record is from RNAcentral.
CAGCCGCCGCGGGAAUACGGAGGGGGCUAGCGUUGUUCGGAAUUACUGGGCGUAAAGCGCACGUAGGCGGCUGUGUAAGUCAGAGGUGAAAGCCCGGGGCUCAACCCCGGAAUAGCCUUUGAGACUGCAUAGCUUGAACACGGGAGAGGUGAGUGGAAUUCCGAGUGUAGAGGUGAAAUUCGUAGAUAUUCGGAAGAACACCAGUGGCGAAGGCGGCUUACUGGCUCAUACUGGACGCUGAGGUGCGAAAGCGUGGGGAGCAAACAGGAUUAGAUACCCGUGUAGUCCCUGUCUCUUAUAC